AUUUUCGAGGGUGUCUAAGACGGAAAAUCGAGAGGGUUAACCAGAAAAAACGUGCGGGGUGUUUCACUGGGUUUUUCUUCGGUGAGUGGCCGGAGGAAGAAUCGACUGAAGCUAUCGGUGUUGAAUACCGUUGCGAGUCUGUCGGAAUAGGUGAAGGGUGUCGUCGCAUCGUCGGAAUCGGGGUUGUGACGUCGUCGUCGGCGGCGCAGCAAUGAUUAAGGUUUUCGCGAGAUUUCGGGUAAGGAAGACGAAGGAAAUGGGUCGGGUUUCACUUUUGGUCUCUGAACCAACCCACGGAACGAACGCGGGCCUGGUGCGUUUUGGCCCAACACGGACGCGCGCUGCGGCCUUGGUCUCGGCUCCACACGCGUGCUCUCGGCUCGGCUUGUCGUGUACGGCGGCUCGGCUCCGUCAAAACCCACGGCUCGACAGCUCGGCUUGGUGACUCAGUAUCUCUAUAAUAUAUCGAUUCCAAGGUUUUCGACCCUUCCGAAGCCGUUUCUGUCCUUAGUUUUACCAUCCGAGGACGUAUUUAACCGCUGGAAUUAGCUCGUUGUGAGUGACUUCAACCAAGACCAUCGAGGUAAAAGCAAAGUGUCAAUGUACGGUUGACGGCGAAGAUGAGGACACCAUGGAAGUUGGAGAUGAGAUAUUUUUAGAAGUUUACAUUUAUUGGACUGUUUUAAGUUAUAGCAUUGAGUAUUGCUCUAUUUAGGGCAUGACUCUGAUACCAUGUUAAAAGAAUAUGA
Molecule: non-coding RNA, 749 nt
Organism: Cucurbita pepo subsp. pepo (vegetable marrow)
Lineage: Eukaryota; Viridiplantae; Streptophyta; Magnoliopsida; Cucurbitales; Cucurbitaceae
Source: RefSeq, a predicted model, not a curated record